GUUUGGUGUGGAGAAGGUGGUUGUUGUGGGUUUUGAUGACGCUGCCCAUGUUUCUUGUGCAACUGUAGCUAUCUUUUGCGUUGUUUUUGUUGAACAAUUUGUGCAAAGUGCUGUCUUUGGGGAAGUGCUUUUUGACCAGGUUAAGGAAAGUUCUGCCGAUGUUUGUUUUGACGUUUUUGCUGAAAGGUUUAUGGAAUAAGUACGUGUACUCGCAUACGGACAGAGUUUUGCGUGUCUCUUCAUGUUGGCUAUUUGGAAGACUAGUUGUUUAUAAAAUUCACUGCUCAUCCAACUUCUAUUCCAUAUUCACAAAUGGUAAGAAUCAGACGCAUCUGUUCCGACAAUAUUGAUUAUUUUGAAAAUCAAGCUACUAAAAAUGUCAUCAUUUUUCCACAACAGAGGAUAACCGGACCACAUUACAAACAGCGCCCUCAUGAGGUUCAUAAACUGUCGCAAAAAGACACUUUGAAAGACGCUACCAAUACAAAAUUAAACCGGACACCACUUGUACUAGCAUAUCCUCUAGUUGCUAAAAAAAAAGUUAAUAGCAUCAAAAAAAGUAAUUUUCAUAUUCUGACGAGUGAUAACUCUACAAAAGAAAUAUUCAAUUCUCCGCCAAUAUUGGCUUACAGAAGGGACCAAAUAGACACUAAACGGAAUAUUCCACUGGAUCUACAGUCGCCUGCAAUAAACUUCGACACAAUACGUGCAAACACAUCACCUCCAUUACUUCUAUCACAGGACCCUCUGGUACUUACAGGAUCAAUGGACAUUUUUCUUGCACUUUUACUAAUUUCAUUUAUGCACUAAAUGCUAUCUUAUAAUAUAAUGGCGAAACGUAGACUGCAGAGAGAUUCACCUAACACAAUGCUUCGUAAGACUCAACCAACCCCGACUUCCUAUAACCGUACACUUCUCCAAUAAUCAUAGUAAAGAAGAUAUUGCCGUCACGGCUGUCACUGUAUGCCACGGACAAGAUACUACAGAAAAAACAUAGCAAAAAAUAGUUUACAAACUUGUGCUGGACAAAAUGUUUCAUUUAAUGCUAAUAUAUUUUUAAUUAUGAUAC
This is a long non-coding RNA of Anneissia japonica, 1069 nucleotides long. RefSeq lists it as uncharacterized. The transcript has 3 exons. The record is from RefSeq and is a predicted model, not a curated record. NCBI's taxonomy places the organism in Eukaryota, Metazoa, Echinodermata, Crinoidea, Comatulida, Comatulidae.